RNAcentral lists this ribosomal RNA (945 nucleotides) under Atlanticus brunneri. RNAcentral describes it as "SSU rRNA". It matches the Rfam family "Eukaryotic small subunit ribosomal RNA", at positions 80 to 923 of the family's 1831-position model. Lineage: Eukaryota; Metazoa; Arthropoda; Insecta; Orthoptera; Tettigoniidae. The record is from RNAcentral.
GGUGAAACCGCGAAUGGCUCAUUAAAUCAGUUAUGGUUCCUUAGAUCGUACCACUUUACUUGGAUAACUGUGGUAAUUCUAGANCUAAUACAUGCAAACNGAGUCCCGACCANAAGUGGAAGGGACGCUUUUAUUANAUCAAAAUCAAUCGGUCGGCUUGUCCGGUCCGNUUGCCUUGGUGACUCUGAAUAACUUUGGGCUGAUCGCACGGUCCUCGUACCGGCGACGCAUCUUUCAAAUGUCUGCCUUAUCAACUGUCNAUGGUAGGUUCUGCGCCUACCAUGGUUGUAACGGGUAACGGGGAAUCAGGGUUCGAUUCCGGAGAGGGAGCCUGAGAAACGGCUACCACAUCCAAGGAAGGCAGCAGGCGCGCAAAUUACCCACUCCCGGCACGGGGAGGUAGUGACGAAAAAUAACGAUACGGGACUCAUCCGAGGCCCCGUAAUCGGAAUGAGUACACUUUAAAUCCUUUAACGAGUAUCCAUUGGAGGGCAAGUCUGGUGCCAGCAGCCGCGGUAAUUCCAGCUCCAAUAGCGUAUAUUAAAGUUGUUGCGGUUAAAAAGCUCGUAGUUGGAUUUGUGUCCCACGCUGUCGGUUCAUCGCUCGUCGGUGUCUAACUGGCAUGGUUCGUGGGACGUCCUGCCGGUGGUGGCGAGUCGAAAGCGUGCGGCCGCCGUGGUUAUCCCGCGUGCGGUUCCUGCGCGCCGUAGGCGGACCCCGAUGAAAUCCUACCGCGGUGCUCUUCAUCGAGUGUCGAGGUGGGCCGGCACGUUUACUUUGAACAAAUUAGAGUGCUUAAAGCAGGCCGGCUGCGCCUGAAUACUGUGUGCAUGGAAUAAUGGAAUAGGACCUCGGUUCUAUUUUGUUGGUUUUCGGAACCCGAGGUAAUGAUUAAUAGGGACAGGCGGGGGCAUUCGUAUUGCGACGUUAGAGGUGAAUUCUUGG